GAAAUGCGAUAAGUAGUGUGAAUUGCAGAAUUCAGUGAAUCAUCGAAUCUUUGAACGCACAUUGCGCCCCUUGGUAUUCCAUGGGGCAUGCCUGUUCGAGCGUCAUUUGUACCCUCAAGCUCUGCUUGGUGUUGGGUGUUUGUCCCCGUCUCCGCGCGUGGACUCGCCCCAAAGUGAUUGGCAGCCGGCGUACUGGUCCCGGAGCGCAGCACAUGUCGCGCAAACGUGUGCCUUGGUACGGCGGCGUCCAUAAGCCCCUCUCUCACGCUCUUGACCUCGGAUCAGGUAGGGAUACCCGCUGAACUUAAGC
RNAcentral lists this unclassified non-coding RNA (310 nucleotides) under plant metagenome. RNAcentral's name for it is "partial contains 5.8S ribosomal RNA, internal transcribed spacer 2, and large subunit ribosomal RNA". The stretch from base 1 to 105 matches the Rfam family "5.8S ribosomal RNA", at positions 50 to 154 of the family's 154-position model. The record is from RNAcentral.